This 551-nucleotide ribosomal RNA is filed under the name uncultured bacterium. RNAcentral's name for it is "bacterial SSU rRNA". It matches the Rfam family "Archaeal small subunit ribosomal RNA", at positions 723 to 1275 of the family's 1478-position model. The record is from RNAcentral.
AGUGAAUAGAUACCCAGGUAGUCCAGGGUGUAAACGCUGCGGGCUUGGUGUUGGGGGUCCUUUGAGGGCGCCCAGUGCCGGAGAGAAAGUUGUUAAGCCUGCUGCUUGGGGAGUACGUCCGCAAGGAUGAAACUUAAAGGAAUUGGCGGGGGAGCACCGCAACGGGAGGAGCGUGCGGUUCAAUUGGAUUCAACGCCGGACAACUCACCAGGAGCGACGGUUACAUGAAGGCCAGGCUGAUGACCUUGCCUGAUUUUCCGAGAGGUGGUGCAUGGCCGUCGUCAGUUCGUACCGUAAGGCGUUCUCUUAAGUGAGAUAACGAACGAGACCCUCACCGCUAAUUGCUAGUGUUCUCUCCGGAGGGCACGCACAUUAACGGGACCGCUGUCGCUAAGACAGAGGAAGGAGAGGUCAACGGUAGGUCCGUAUGCCCCGAAUCUCCUGGGCUACACGCGCGCUACAAAGGUUGGGACAAUGGGCUCCGACAUCGAAAGGUGAAGGCAAUCUCGAAACCCAAUCGUAGUUCGGAUUGAGGGUUGUAACUCACCCUC